RNAcentral lists this ribosomal RNA (484 nucleotides) under uncultured bacterium. Its description in RNAcentral is "partial 16S ribosomal RNA". It matches the Rfam family "Bacterial small subunit ribosomal RNA", at positions 30 to 507 of the family's 1533-position model. The record is from RNAcentral.
AUUGAACGCUGGCGGCAGGCCUAACACAUGCAAGUCGAGCGGAUGAAGGGAGCUUGCUCCUGGAUUCAGCGGCGGACGGGUGAGUAAUGCCUAGGAAUCUGCCUGGUAGUGGGGGAUAACGUCCGGAAACGGGCGCUAAUACCGCAUACGUCCUGAGGGAGAAAGUGGGGGAUCUUCGGACCUCACGCUAUCAGAUGAGCCUAGGUCGGAUUAGCUAGUUGGUGGGGUAAAGGCCUAGCAAGGCGACGAUCCGUAACUGGUCUGAGAGGAUGAUCAGUCACAGUGGAUCAUGGACACGGUCCACACACCUACGGGAUGCAGCAGUCGGGAAUAGUUGACAGUGUGCCAAAGCCUGAUCCAGCCAUGCCGCGUGUGUGAAGAAGGUAUUCGGAUUGUAAAGCCAUUUAAGUUGGGGGGAAGGGCAGUAAUCUAAUACCGUGCUUUUUUGACGUUAACGGCAGAAUAAGCACCGGCUAACUUCGUG